AUUUACUCGAGAGUUUGAUCCUGGCUCAGGAUGAACGCUGGCGGCGUGCUUAACACAUGCAAGUCGAACGGUGAAGCCAAGCUUGCUUGGUGGAUCAGUGGCGAACGGGUGAGUAACACGUGAGCAACCUGCCCUGAACUCUGGGAUAAGCGCUGGAAACGGCGUCUAAUACUGGAUAUGAGCUGCGGAGGCAUCUUCGUGGUUGGAAAGAUUUUUCGGUUUGGGAUGGGCUCGCGGCCUAUCAGCUUGUUGGUGAGGUAAUGGCUCACCAAGGCGUCGACGGGUAGCCGGCCUGAGAGGGUGACCGGCCACACUGGGACUGAGACACGGCCCAGACUCCUACGGGAGGCAGCAGUGGGGAAUAUUGCACAAUGGGCGGAAGCCUGAUGCAGCAACGCCGCGUGAGGGAUGACGGCCUUCGGGUUGUAAACCUCUUUUAGCAGGGAAGAAGCGAAAGUGACGGUACCUGCAGAAAAAGCGCCGGCUAACUACGUGCCAGCAGCCGCGGUAAUACGUAGGGCGCAAGCGUUAUCCGGAAUUAUUGGGCGUAAAGAGCUCGUAGGCGGUUUGUCGCGUCUGCUGUGAAAUCUGGGGGCUCAACCCCCAGCCUGCAGUGGGUACGGGCAGACUAGAGUGCGGUAGGGGAGAUUGGAAUUCCUGGUGUAGCGGUGGAAUGCGCAGAUAUCAGGAGGAACACCGAUGGCGAAGGCAGAUCUCUGGGCCGUAACUGACGCUGAGGAGCGAAAGGGUGGGGAGCAAACAGGCUUAGAUACCCUGGUAGUCCACCCCGUAAACGUUGGGAACUAGUUGUGGGGUCCAUUCCACGGAUUCCGUGACGCAGCUAACGCAUUAAGUUCCCCGCCUGGGGAGUACGGCCGCAAGGCUAAAACUCAAAGGAAUUGACGGGGACCCGCACAAGCGGCGGAGCAUGCGGAUUAAUUCGAUGCAACGCGAAGAACCUUACCAAGGCUUGACAUACACGAGAACGCUGCAGAAAUGUAGAACUCUUUGGACACUCGUGAACAGGUGGUGCAUGGUUGUCGUCAGCUCGUGUCGUGAGAUGUUGGGUUAAGUCCCGCAACGAGCGCAACCCUCGUUCUAUGUUGCCAGCACGUAAUGGUGGGAACUCAUGGGAUACUGCCGGGGUCAACUCGGAGGAAGGUGGGGAUGACGUCAAAUCAUCAUGCCCCUUAUGUCUUGGGCUUCACGCAUGCUACAAUGGCCGGUACAAAGGGCUGCAAUACCGCGAGGUGGAGCGAAUCCCAAAAAGCCGGUCCCAGUUCGGAUUGAGGUCUGCAACUCGACCUCAUGAAGUCGGAGUCGCUAGUAAUCGCAGAUCAGCAACGCUGCGGUGAAUACGUUCCCGGGUCUUGUACACACCGCCCGUCAAGUCAUGAAAGUCGGUAACACCUGAAGCCGGUGGCCCAACCCUUGUGGAGGGAGCCGUCGAAGGUGGGAUCGGUAAUUAGGACUAAGUCGUAACAAGGUAGCCGUACCGGAACCUGCGGCUGGAUCACCUCCUUAAC
Molecule: ribosomal RNA, 1526 nt
Filed under: Microbacterium aurantiacum
Lineage: Bacteria; Bacillati; Actinomycetota; Actinomycetes; Micrococcales; Microbacteriaceae
Description: bacterial SSU rRNA
Rfam family: Bacterial small subunit ribosomal RNA
Source: RNAcentral